CCUACGGGAGGCAGCAGUGGGGAAUCUUGCGCAAUGGGCGAAAGCCUGACGCAGCAACGCCGCGUGCGGGAAGAAGGCUUUCGGGCUGUAAACCGCUUUCAGCAGGAACGAAAAUGACGGUACCUGCAGAAGAAGGAGCGGCCAACUAUGUGCCAGCAGCCGCGGUGAUACAUAGGCUUCAAGCGUUGUCCGGAUUUAUUGGGCGUAAAGAGUUCGUAGGCGGUCGAGUAAGUCGGGUGUGAAAAUUCUGGGCUCAACCCAGAGACGCCACCCGAUACUGCUUGACUUGAGUUCGAUAGGGGAGUGGGGAAUUCCUAGUGUAGCGGUGAAAUGCGCAGAUAUUAGGAGGAGCACCGGUGGCGAAGGCGCCACUCUGGAUCGAUACUGACGCUGAGGAACGAAAGCAUGGGUAGCAAACAGGAUUAGAUACCCUGGUAGUCCAUGCCGUAAACGGUGGGCACUAGGUGUGGGUUUCUAUUAACGAAUCCGNGCCGUCGCUAACGCAUUAAGUGCCCCGCCUGGGGAGUACGGUCGCGAGACGAAACGUACGAAGUAAGUAGUACGGCGUUGUAGACGUUGCCGACGGCGACGACGAGGGAGGAGG
Molecule: ribosomal RNA, 604 nt
Filed under: uncultured bacterium
Lineage: Bacteria
Description: bacterial SSU rRNA
Rfam family: Bacterial small subunit ribosomal RNA
Source: RNAcentral